This is a small nuclear RNA of Chlorocebus sabaeus (green monkey), 105 nucleotides long. NCBI's taxonomy places the organism in Eukaryota, Metazoa, Chordata, Mammalia, Primates, Cercopithecidae. The record is from Ensembl.
GUGCUCACUUUGGUGACACAUAAACCAAGCUAGAAUGAUACAGAGAAGAUUAGCAUGGCCCCAUGUAAGGAUGAUAUAAAAAUUUGUGAAGCAUUUCAUAUUUUA